Nothobranchius furzeri (turquoise killifish) is the source of this 2794-nucleotide non-coding RNA. NCBI's taxonomy places the organism in Eukaryota, Metazoa, Chordata, Actinopteri, Cyprinodontiformes, Nothobranchiidae. The record is from RefSeq and is a predicted model, not a curated record.
GAUGGAUGGAUGGGUGGGUGGGUGGGUGGGUGGAUGGAUGGAUGGAUAGAAGCAUGUAUGGAUUUAUAUGUAGAUGGAUGGAUUCCUUAGGCCAAGCCGAUCAAUUUGAUGUCUCACAUGCGUGGGUGUGUAAUUCCAUUUAGCCAGAAGAUGACUGACCUCUCUCAACCAAUCAGGGAGCUGGGAGGGAGCGUGGCACUUUCCCACCUUCUGACGGUCAAUCAAAUUGAACUUAUUUCUAGUUUUAAGUACAAACAGUUCAAAAAGAUCAAAAGCAUUCAAGGUCUGUUAAUGGCUCAAUAUUCUGCUUUUUAUAUUCAUUCCUAUGAGAGUUGGUUAAAAUGAUUUGUAGUUCCUUGUGUUGCCAUGGUAACAGAUGACAGGAGUCUGCAUUAAUAAAGCUAUGUACAAUAACACAUGAGUCAUUUAAACUUUGAAUAACAUUUCUAUAUUAAAGUAUGUUGAUACAGUUGUGUCUAAAAUGUUGUUGCUAAGCACGUUGCCAUGGUAAUGCAGAACACAAUAUCAAGUUAAUACAAGACUCCUGGGACCAAGCAGGUUGAAUUGAUGUAACAUAUGUGUGGGUGCACAUUUCCUUUUGGGCAGAAGACGAUUGAAAACUCUCAGCCAAUGAGAGAGCAGCAAAGGAGGAGGGGGCAGUUCCUGCCUUCUGACUAGUGUUAAAAUGUCAGCUAUGCUGCUAGUUUUAAAAGUAUAGGGUUGGUUGGUUGGUUUUAUUUACUCAUUUAUUUAUAUGUGGAUGGAUGGAUUCCUUAGGCCAAGCCGAUCGAUUUGAUGUCUCACAUGCGUGGAUGUGUAAUUCCAUUUAGCCCGAAGAUGAUUGACCUCUUUCAACCAAUCAGGAAGCUGGGAGGGAGCGGGGCACUUUGCCACCUUCUGACGGUCAAUCAAAUUGAACUUGUUUCUAGUUUUAAAUACAGAUAGCUCAAAAAGAUCAAAAACAGGAGUCGGUUAUUGGCUCAAUAUUCAGCUUUUUAAUAUUAAUUCCUAUGAGACUUGGUUAAAGUGAUAUGUAGUUCCUUGUGUUGCCAUGGUAACAGAUAACACAUUUAAAAUUGAAUACAAGAUUCCUGAGACCAAGCUGGUCGAUUUGAUGUGUCAUAUGUGUGGAUGCUGGACAGAAAAUGGUUGAACACUCUCAACCAAUCAGAGAGCAGCACUGUUUUCCCGCCUUUUCCCCUGGCUGUUGGAGGCCUGCAGCUGUACUCCUGUUAAAGGCACAGUCUGCAACAUUUAAAUGUAGAAUAACUUUAAAAAUGUUUUAUUUUGACCAUCUGACCCAAUUUUAUUAAAAAAAGUAAAUAAUCUUUAAUAUUUCAAUUUUCUCCUAAGUCCCUCCCCUCCCCUGUAGAGCUCAGCCAAUAUUUCUGCAAGCCUAACGCGUUGACCAAUAGCGCUGCGUUACCACGAGGGGGCAGCUGUCAAUCAUCGAGCACGAGCAGGUCUCAGCGUGCACAACAGUGUCACGCGCCUUACUUGGCUUACUGCAGAAACAUGGAGCAACAAACCCCAAAUUACAGAUUCCUCGACUGCCUUCCACAUCUCAAAAAACAUUUAAAAAGUUUAAAAGCCCUUCUUCAAAAGUGGCUGUAAGACGUUUGAGACAGUCGAGUAGAAUUUACAUUGGAGAUUGUUUUAAAAGAUGGAGUGAUUUUCGUGAUCUACACGGCCUGAAAACGGAUGAAGAGUUGGCAAAGUAUCUUAGGGACAGGUAAGUUAUUUAUUGUUUUUCGGAUAAAUUUACUUAAUUUACUUUCUUUCACUGAAAGAAGUAAUAGAGCAAACAAGCUUUGUAUGCUUGGUGUCCUAUUGGCUAAUGUAGCAUUAGCUUGAAUGCUAAGUCGACAUGAAUCGAUGCUAGUCGAACUAUUUAUGCUAUAUUUGGAAGAAGUUUGGGUAACGAAAGGGGAUUUUAGUUUUUUUUAUAUGGGAGCUAAUGAUUAGUGUGGCGUUUAACUAUAGGCCAUAUCAGUGUAUUGUUUUAAGCUCUUGUUUAUAACUUCCCCUUUAGCGGGGUUCAGUUAGCAUCUUGAAAGCUGAAUUAGAUGUUUACACUUUCCUGAGCUGCAUGUUUGAUUAAAAUGAGUAAUCGGCAGCUCAUGUAGUACUUGUAGAAGUCUGAGGAGAUGAUUCAGCAGUUAGAAUUAGGUGUGAUUGAUCAGGAACGUAUCCAAAACCUUACGUUUCCAUUAGCACUGAAAGACAUAUUGUGCUAACCUGGGUAGGCCACGUGUACAGAUUACUGUCUGAGUUUGUGGUCUUACCUACGUGAAAACUCCAUAUUAAAAUAAAAGGAAUGAUAAUCAGCUUGUGCAAAAAUCUGUGAAGGCUGGGGAGACAUGUUUAGCUUGUGAUCACUAAUUUUUGGGCUUUGUUUUUUACAGUCAUCAGUCCAAAUAUGAAGCAUCAUCAUCUACACCAUUGAAACGCCAACUGUUUAUUUCUCCAAAACCAGUGCCAGCUCUGUCUAGCAUUCAAGGAGAGUCAUCUGAAAGCUAUGAUAAUUUGGAGGAGGUGAUGGAACAAGGUGAAACUAAGAAACCAUGAUCGUCAACCAACGUUUGACAAGCAAGAAAGGUCUUCCUCGACGCUACAAGCUAAGGCCUGAGGAUCCAAGGUGUUACGGUUUGCUGUCCGGAGUCCCUGCACCAUCAACAGAGGAACUUCUACAACACAUACGGACUCGUGGUGAUGGUAAAACUUUGCCACAGACAUAGGUGUUGGGGGAGGCAAGAGAAAACCCAAAACCUUCUUUAUUUUUGUUUCCUGUGUU